This 185-nucleotide ribosomal RNA is filed under the name uncultured bacterium. Its description in RNAcentral is "partial 16S ribosomal RNA". It matches the Rfam family "Bacterial small subunit ribosomal RNA", at positions 1316 to 1500 of the family's 1533-position model. The record is from RNAcentral.
CUGCGUGAAGUUGGAAUUGCUAGUAAUCGCGGAUCAGCAUGCCGCGGUGAAUACGUUCCCGGGCCUUGUACACACCGCCCGUCACACCAUGGGAGCCGGUAAUACCCGAAGUCAGCAGCCUAACCGCAAGGGGGGCGCUGCCGAAGGUAGGAUUGGCGACUGGGGUGAAGUCGUAACAAGGUACC